CUCUGAAGCAGCGUCGCACUUCUCCCAGAGAGGUGCUGGUGGUGUCCAACACCUCCAUCUUUCUCCCGUGCCCGGUGCGCUCCUUCCACGCUACGUACCGCUGGGAGAAAGACAACUGUGUCAAGAACUAUCCCUGCCUCUUCUCCGGGGAUUUCUGCGUGCUGGGUCCGGCUGUCAGAACGCCCCUGAAGGAUGGCGUCUUCCGCUGCAUGGCCACCGAAGACGGAUUCAAGGUGGAGGUCAUCUCCUUCAGGCUGGUGAACGACGGCAGGCUCCUGGCCGCCUCCCUGGCCUCCACCUUGGGCCCGUCGCUCCUGCUAGCCAUGGCUACCCUGUGGCUCCAUUAACUGCAGCUACCGCUAAUGCUAACCCCUCAUCCUUACUGGCUCCCAAUGACAGGAAUACAAGGAGCCUCUGUUAGGAGGUUAGGUUCGCAGAGCAUUGAAGUACAUGGUUGUGUUGGACCGUGAAAAUCCUUUUUCCAUAUCAAUUUAUAGAGAAAGAUUCCAGAAAAGUCUGUAUUUUUUGCAUAAAGCAACAUAUCAGCAGCUGUUUUAAUAAGAUCCGAACUGGGAAACACAUUCAUUAUCAUAGUAAAGUAACUAGAAGUUCAGAAAUGGACAUAUCUUGCAAGUUCGAUCAACCGUAGUUAGGUGCUUUGCGAACCUUUCCUCUCUGACUGAAAACAUAUCGUAUGAGUUGGGCAAAAACACCAAUACCAGGCCAAUUAUUUUUACCAUUUCUCAACUUUAUUUGAAAUCGACUUGACUGUGCUUAUUUGUGAAUAUAUAAACCUUUAAUACCGCUCUUAAAUCUUAUCAUUCAUCUUGUUAGACUUCAUUGGUAUAGCUCAUUAGUACGUAGAAAAAUGUCUGGUAUUGAGAUUUGAAAAGCCUUAACACUUCUUGGACAUUAACUCCUAAGCACAAUUUUGAGGCAGACUUGGCGCUAUAUGAUUAUUGCGGCUGAGUCGAACAACAUCGCUGGGAGGAAGUGUCAGCUUUUUGACAGGAAGUAGAAAGAUGGGCAAAAGCUCAUUCUCGGAUCAUCACUGUGUCUCAGCACCUCCUUCUCAGACGAGGCAGUACCUCUCAUCUUUUUAUUCGAUGGUAUCAGACAUCGUCAUUAAGCCUUGUUCGCAGCUUUGCCCAUUUUUAAUUAAACACGACCCGGGGAGAGGGACAAAUAGCUAACUGACGUCCAAUAUCUGUCAACCCGACAAUUCAUAAAGAUGUGAACAAGGUUUUGUGCUAUAGCAAUUUCAAUAAACACACAUUAACAUAAACAUAAGGGCAGAUGAAGCUAAAAGGAACUGCAUAUUAAGCUUGUAUUUUAUAGUUUGCUUGGAGAAAAAAAGCUUGUACUUAGAUACGUGAAGUGUGUUCUGUAUUUUAUUGCUCUGCAGAUGCUGAUUUCUACCAUUGCUGCCUACGUAAGUGACUCUUUGUCUUGAUUGUUUGGGUUUAAAUGCCAUAGUUAGAACGUGAAGUGUAACCACCGACUGCUUUGCCUCUUUCCGCAGGGACAUCAGUGCAAAUAGACAGGAACAUGGUUAUUUUUGGUAAUACUUGUAUCUCUAUGCUGUGAAACAAAAGGCUCGACAGACUCCAACAAGUUGCUUCCCUGAUGAACAGCAGCAUCCACAACCAGCGGCGACAACGAUAGCUAGCAUCACGCUACCUCUCCUUUAAUAACUCAAACUUCAUUAAGACCAAGAAGACAGUUGACGCUGAGUGUUUAGAAGAAAUAAGAUGUGAGUUAAGUAGCCCUAAAAUCCUAAAAAGUAAACGUUGAUUGAAUACUGAUCAGCUGACUGAAGAAGUAGGCUUCAGCGGUGAUGAAUUAUGCAGCGGAUUAGCAUGUUCUCCAGAGCUUUGAGAAUUAUCAUUCAGUAGUGUUACAUAAAUCUGGCCGUGCCGAGCCUUCCUCAGUGGCAGACAUGUCAUUAAUAGCUAAUUAGACAAUGGAGCCUGCUCGCCAUGCACCUUAUUAAAGAAUUGAUGUUACACCGUCGAGCAGCGGGCAUGUUCUCAGCUGUGAAAACCUCGAGGUGGUGUCGUGAUUCUCUCUCAGCUCGGUUGUGUGUUGCUGCUCUGGGAUCUGCUCGCUUUCUGUAAUGCACUGAAACUGGCUUCUCACUGUGCCAAUAAAAGACAAAAAGAAAAAACAAAGCUAUGUUGAGCCACCGUAUCCUCCCGACGUCGCUUCUUCUGUUCAUUUGCUUUAUCCCUCGCUCCUUACCUGCCGUUUUAUCUUUUCCCCCAAGGUGACUCUGUGUAUGUGUCGGUCCUUUCUUAAGCCAGACACACAAACCUUCUGUAGGUGCAACAUGCAUAUUAAUCAUCUUUGUGUCACCACCGGGGAGGGAAAAUAUCAACAGCCAACGGCCACGAGCUCGUAAACAUUUAGUAGAGGCUGUUAGAGAGGCUGUUAGACACCUUUGGCAGUAAAACAACUCAAGAUGCAUAGACAUGCUCAUUACAUAGUCCUGUUAAACCUCCUUUAUCUGUUAAAAUAACUGCUGAGUAAGUGUCGUUGUGAUUCAAACAGCGAACAGCUGUUCCACCCACUGGGACCCAGAAUCCCUGAUCUCUGAGGAUUUUAGCCGAGGAUCCCCUCAGCCUACAACCUGCCAUAAACACACACACCUUCCAGAGUUGGUCCAAACACCAACACAUUUGACCUUAUGUCAAAUAAAACACACACACACCCAUCCACAGAUCCUUAGGCCCUUGCAAUUAUUCUCAACCGAGAACCCAAAACCCCAUUCCAACACAAAAACCUAACCCUCACCCUAACUCUCAACCUCACCCUAACCUCACCCUAACUCUCACCCUAACCAGCCUAUAGCUGCAUUCACAUGAGACGGGGUAAAUGGCUCUGCGCUGUUGUUGUUGCCGUUGUGUUUUGAAUGGAGAAAGCAAAGCAGCCUGACUUUCGUAAACCUUCAGCGCUGUGCACGGCUCGAGUUCAUAUUACUCCAACUUUGACAUAGUUACCGCUGACCUUACGACGCGCAACCACUCAGACGACAGCUUUGUCAACAACCCAAGUUAGCAGGGGACGUAACUAUAGAAACAAAACUUAUAUGGCUGUUUUCAUAGCAUGGCGCCAAACCUAGCGGUGAGCAAAUCACGUAUAAUGGGAAUGCAGCUCAACCCUAAACAUAAAUGUGUUCUUUACUUCACCCUAACUACGUACUUUUAGUUGCCUAAACGUAAGUACACAUCAUUUUGCAGAUGCAUAUUGUACAAAAGAGCAUGUCUAUGUUAUUGUUGGUUGCAGGGUUUGUUUACAGAUAGUUGUUGCUGUGCAGAGCUGAUUGCAUUUCUUCGUGAGGAGCGGCGCUGCAGGCAGGCAGGUGAAAUCAGGCUUUCAUCAUCCCGCUCUUUCCUAAGUCAUCACGCUCAACACCACAAGGCUUUGCUUCAGUAUCAACACUUUUCCAGCUAAUGCGUGGAAUUAAGAUUUAUAGCAUUUACAGCAUUUACCAACAGUUGCCGGUUUUUUCAAAUCUCCCCGUUCAAGUCCUUGCUUUGAUACGGAUAUUCUCAAACUCGUUUUUUAUCGGAAUCCGGUUAUCGCUCCUUCGCAACCGCCAUCGUCAGCCAGUCCGAUAAAAGCUAAUCUCCUUCAAAGCAAGCUCUUGAUUUGCCUUCAGGAAACCAAUUUAAUGGAUCAAGCUAUCUGCUGUAAACGAAUCAACGUCGAGUGAAGCGGGUCGCUGUUUUGUUUGCUCUGGGGUUUUUGAGUGUCGAGUACUGUACAUGAUGUGUGCCCGCAAUUAUGUGUCUUGAUAUAUCUUAUUUUAAAGGAACAUGCCAAACUCUAUUAUU
Notothenia coriiceps (black rockcod) is the source of this 3836-nucleotide long non-coding RNA. RefSeq lists it as uncharacterized. NCBI's taxonomy places the organism in Eukaryota, Metazoa, Chordata, Actinopteri, Perciformes, Nototheniidae. The record is from RefSeq and is a predicted model, not a curated record. The transcript is spliced from 2 exons.